UGCCAGCAGCCGCGGUAAUACGGAGGGUGCAAGCGUUAAUCGGAAUUACUGGGCGUAAAGCGCGCGUAGGCGGUUUGUUAAGUCAGCUGUGAAAGCCCAGAGCUCAACUCUGGAACUGCGCCUGAAACUAUUUGUCUAGAGUAUCGGAGAGGUAAGCGGAAUUCCUAGUGUAGCGGUGAAAUGCGUAGAUAUUAGGAGGAACACCAAAGGCGAAGGCAGCUUACUGGACGAUAACUGACGCUGAGGCACGAAAGCGUGGGGAGCGAAAAGGAUUAGAUA
Molecule: ribosomal RNA, 279 nt
Filed under: uncultured bacterium
Lineage: Bacteria
Description: partial 16S ribosomal RNA
Rfam family: Bacterial small subunit ribosomal RNA
Source: RNAcentral